CAACAGGGAUUGCCCUAGUAACGGCGAGUGAAGCGGCAACAGCUCAAAUUUGAAAUCUGGCUCUUUUAGAGUCCGAGUUGUAAUUUGCAGAGGGCGCUUUGGCUUUGGCAGCGGUCCAAGUUCCUUGGAACAGGACGUCACAGAGGGUGAGAAUCCCGUACGUGGUCGCUAGCUAUUGCCGUGUAAAGCCCCUUCGACGAGUCGAGUUGUUUGGGAAUGCAGCUCUAAAUGGGAGGUAAAUUUCUUCUAAAGCUAAAUAUUGGCCAGAGACCGAUAGCGCACAAGUAGAGUGAUCGAAAGAUGAAAAGCACUUUGGAAAGAGAGUCAAACAGCACGUGAAAUUGUUGAAAGGGAAGCGCUUGCAGCCAGACUUGCUUGCAGUUGCUCAUCCGGGCUUUUGCCCGGUGCACUCUUCUGCAGGCAGGCCAGCAUCAGUUUGGGCGGUGGGAUAAAGGUCUCUGUCACGUACCUCCUUUCGGGGAGGCCUUAUAGGGGAGGCGACAUACCACCAGCCUGGACUGAGGUCCGCGCAUUCGCUAGGAUGCUGGCGUAAUGGCUGUAAGCGGCCCGUCUUGAAACACGGACCAAGGAGUCUAACAUCUAUGCGAGUGUUUGGGUGUCAAGCCCGAACGCGUAAUGAAAGUGAACGGAGGUGGGAACCCGCAAGGGUGCACCAUCGACCGAUCCUGAUGUCUUCGGAAGGAUUUGAGUAAGAGCAUGGCUGUUGGGACCCGAAAGAUGGUGAACUAUGCUUGAAUAGGGUGAAGCCAGAGGAAACUCUGGUGGAGGCUCGCAGCGGUUCUGACGUGCAAAUCGAUCGUCAAAUUUGGGCAUAGGGGCGAAAGACUAAUCGAAUC
Molecule: ribosomal RNA, 857 nt
Filed under: Pyrenophora nobleae
Lineage: Eukaryota; Fungi; Ascomycota; Dothideomycetes; Pleosporales; Pleosporaceae
Description: partial large subunit ribosomal RNA
Rfam family: Eukaryotic large subunit ribosomal RNA
Source: RNAcentral